AUGGAGGAGCGGCGGGACGAGGGGUUUGGAGGGGGCGGGGCGGUGCGGGAGCUGGUGCUGAUGCAGCAGGAGCGGCGGCGCCGGCGGGAGGAGGAGGAGGAGGAGGUGCGGCGCCAGAUGUUCGGGGGAGGCGCCGCGUUCCACGCUGCGGCGGCCGCGGCCGCGCUGGGCCAGCAGCACCAGCACCAGCAGGCGGAGUACGGCGAGCUCGGGGGCGGCGCGUUCUACGAGAGCGAGGCGGGCGGGUCGUCGGAGCCCGAGCCGCACGGGGCGUCCGACCGCCCGCGCGGGGGCGGGGGGUCCGGCAGCAAGCGCACCCGCGCCGCCGAGGUGCACAACCUCUCCGAGAAGCGGCGGAGGAGCAGGAUCAACGAGAAGAUGAAGGCGCUGCAGAGCCUGAUACCCAAUUCCAACAAGACUGACAAGGCGUCGAUGCUUGACGAGGCCAUUGAGUAUCUGAAGCAACUGCAGCUCCAAGUACAGAUGCUGUCUAUGAGAAACGGCGUUUACUUGAACCCAUCGUAUCUAUCUGGAGCACUUGAGCCUGUGCAAGCAUCACAAAUGUUUGCAGCACUUGGUGUUAGUGGGAGAAAUGUGGUGGCACCAAGCUCUGGGGCAGUAGCGCCACCUGUAAACCAAAGUUCAGGAGCUCAUCAUUCAUUCGAUCCGAUGAAUUCUCCUCAACAAAAUCAACCACAGCCUCUUGUGUUACCAAGCUGUCCUAAAACAACCAUUCCAGAGCCUCCGUUUCACUUGGAGUCGUCACAGCCCCACCUUCAAUCAUUUCAGUUGCCUGAAUCCUCCGAGAUGAUGUUGCGAGGGGAUAUAAUGCUGAAGCAUCACCUAACAUCAGCUCAGGACAGAGCUGAUCCAUCAGGAAACAAGAUGAACUCAUUAAGGCAAGAAUCAUCCAUGUUGAACACUCAUUUUGAUGGAUGCUCGCGUAGCAAAGAGCAGUCACAUGAUAUGGUACCAGCAAAUACACGGCAUGUGUAG
This 996-nucleotide ribosomal RNA is filed under the name Triticum aestivum (bread wheat). RNAcentral describes it as "partial small subunit ribosomal RNA". The record is from RNAcentral. Lineage: Eukaryota; Viridiplantae; Streptophyta; Magnoliopsida; Poales; Poaceae.